CACGUACUGUGCGAACGUUAUUCGGAAUCACUGGGCUUAAAGGGUGCGUAGGCGGCGAUACAAGUCAGGUGUGAAAUGCCGGAGCUCAACUGCGGCAUUGCGCUUGAAACUGUGUUGCUUGAGUAUUUCAGGGGUGUGGGGAACUGCCAGUGGAGCGGUGAAAUGUGUUGAUAUUGGCAGGAACACCGGAGGCGAAAGCGCCACACUGGGGAAUAACUGACGCUGAGGCACGAAAGCCAGGGGAGCGAACGGG
Molecule: ribosomal RNA, 253 nt
Filed under: uncultured bacterium
Lineage: Bacteria
Also listed under: 1 other name
Description: partial 16S ribosomal RNA
Rfam family: Bacterial small subunit ribosomal RNA
Source: RNAcentral